Molecule: long non-coding RNA, 3919 nt
Organism: Myotis daubentonii (Daubenton's bat)
Lineage: Eukaryota; Metazoa; Chordata; Mammalia; Chiroptera; Vespertilionidae
Source: RefSeq, a predicted model, not a curated record
AAAAAAGUGGUGAAAGCAGACAUAUCUGUCUUGUUCCUGUUCUUUGUUUUUACCCAUUGAGUAUGAUGUUGGCUGUAGGUUUGUCAUAUAUGGCCUUUAUCAUGUUGAGAUAUGCUCCCUCUAUUCCCACUUUGCUGAGAAUUUUUAUCAAAAAUGGGUGUUAGAUUUUGUCAAAUGCUUUCUCUGUGUCUAUUGAUAUGAUCAUGUGAUUUUUGUCUUUCAAAUUGUUUAUGUGAUGUAUCACAUUUAUUGAUUUGUGAAUACUGUACUGGCCUUGCAUCCCCGGAAUAAAUCCCACUUGGUCAUGGUGUAUGAUCUUUUUAAUAUAUUGCUGGAUGCAAUAUGCUAAUAUUCUGUUGAGGAUUUUAGCAUCUAUUUUCAUCAGGGAUAUUGGCCUGUAAUUCUCUUUCUUUGUAGUGUCUUUAUAUGCUUUUGGAAUUAGGGUAAUGCUGGCCUCAAAGUUUCUAAUAAUAAGAGUUGGUGUUUAUAGUUUAAAUCAUUUAGGCAAGUUAUCUCUUUUAGAGGGGGGCAGUUUUUAAAAAGUAGAAUAGUACUGGAAGAGGCACUGAAGGCGAUGGUAAGGGCAUGGUUUCUGGAGUCAGAUGGCCAGAGGGUGAUCACUAAUAUGCCCAUUUUAUAGAUGGGCAUAUUAGUGAUCCAAAAAGGCUUUUGUGAAGGUUAAAUUAAUAAAAGGUUUAGUGUGAAGCCUUAUAAGAAGUAAUACUUGGUAAAUAUUAGCUGCUAUUAUUACUGUCAUUACUAUGAUUGUUCAUAUUAUUUAACACUGUUGACCGAGGUACAGUGUAGAUACUGGGUUUACUGAGCCGAAUGUUUCAGCCAAUGGGCAUCCUUGAAUGCAAGGAAUGUAGCAUUUCUGUUGAUAAACCACGGUGAGCUACUAUGGUGAAGGUACCUCUCACUCAGAUGUGAUAUUCAUUCUGGUUGGAAAAGUGGAUUUCUCGCUGUUUAGUUAUCUACCAAACCACCCCAAAACAUGGUGGCUUAAACUAACAGCAUUUUAUUAUUUCUUACAGUUCAGGGGGUUGACUGGGUGAAAUCUGAGGAGGUAAGAGGUUCAAAUUGGCUUCACUGCCAUGGCUGUGGGCCAGAGGCCUGCUGGGACUGUUUCCCAGGUCCUCAGUCCUCCGGUUGCCUUUUCCACUUAGCUAGGGUGAGCUUCUCAAAGCAUGGUGGCUGCAGGCAAUUGGUGCUCUUUCCUGGUGGCUAGCUACCUUCAGUCUUUUUUGUAUACAAUAGCCAUACAAAAAGGAAGUAAGAGAUUAUAUAGAAAAAAAUUAUGAUGUUUUUACUUUGGUCCUGUUUCAGCAAAUAUUGGUUUUUAGAGACUUGUAAUAAAAAUGGCCUUAAAUCCUCUUUAGCAAACAGCUGAAGAUUUGCCCCAGUUAGGAAGGAAACUACCAUUAUGGCUCUGAACAUACCCAUGCCUGGGAGCCUCCUGGGGCUUCUCGUUUGAGCAGGAGUUUGGGUUGUGGGGUGCUGUACCUUAUGACCUUACAAUAUAAUUGCUUUAAUAGCCAUAAAAGGAGGGCCUGUGCCCCACUCCCCCAAUAAUUUAUGCUGCCCUGGGUCCCAUCUUUACACUUUAUUGUGUUGGUGUUUGGGAGGCGUUAUGCUGCCAUGAUUGACAGCAGGAACCCUGAGGCCCUGUGACCCACUUCCUUCCUUUAGCUGUGUCAGCUUGGACAGAUCACUCACUCUGUUCAAUUUCUUCAUCUGGAAAAUGACAUGAGAAUAGGGAUAUGACUCAUAGGACUGAUGUGAGGAUUAGAUGAGAUAUAGUACACAUAAAACGUUUUAGCCCAGUGCCUGGCAUAAUGAGUAUUAUAUUCAGUGAUGUUAUUAUUAUUUUAAUAAUCAUUUUUGCUAGACUUCCAUAUAAGAUUUUCUGAUUCAUUGUUAACAGCUGGUGCUCAGUGAGGUAGGUGAUGAUGAAACUGAGAGUCAGAGAGCUUAAGUAACUUAUCCCAUGUGGCACAAUUCACACAUGGUAGAACUAGCCAUCAGACUCUGUCCUUCUGACUCUUAUUCAUCUUAUUCCAUCACACAGACCUCACAAAUAGUGUCAACCUGAUGGCAAGGGCAUGGGUGUUGGGUUGGGUUGUGUUGUUCUAUGCCUCUUGUCAUUCUUGGGCGUGUUUAUCUGAAUGAUGUAAUAACCAUUCCAUUUUGGCCAUAUGUGGCUUUGGGCAGGGACACAGGUCAUCCUUUUUAUAACCCAAUGUUCUGCAUGAUCUAGGUGUUCAAUUAAUGUUGUUACCGGUGACAGUAACGGAUUAGAAGGCUUGUCUGAUUUACUUUGUGAUUCUUGAUUAAAUUUGGGUAUCUUAAAAAAGAAGCCAUAAUGAAUGGAUGCCUUGUUUCUUUAAAUCAUUCUGAGUCUUCGGGCCAUUGCAACAUAGAAAAGAUUUAAUUUUAGAGAAUUAGGUUGCUGAAGCAAUCUAACUUCCUUCUCUUGAGAGCAGUGUGUGUGGAUGGCCUGGUGUAUUGGUCUCGGUGGUGGACUGCAUGUGGAAGGUGGAGCUGUGUGAACCCGUGCCUAUGGGGCAUAAGGGCUUGUGAAUGUCUGGGUAUGCUCACAAACGUGGAGGUUGAUGAGGAAUUACUCUUGGUAAGGUUUACUUGGCCAGUUAGAAUUAAGUGUAUGCCAGUAGUGGGUGAAAAAAAAUUGGGGGAAACUGUUAGAGAUAUAAAGAAACCUAGCAACAAAAUACAGUUUGUAGUAAAAUUUGGAUCCCUGGUUGAAUACACCAGUUAUAAAAAGAUGUUAUUGAGACAGUUGGGGAGAACUGAAUUUGGACUGGGUAUUAGAUUAUGUUAAGAAUUACUGACAAGAAUUAUUGUUGCCCUAACGGGUUUGGCUCAGUGGAUAGAGUGUUGGCCUGCGGACUGAAAGGUCCCAGUUUCCAUUCCGGUCAAGGGCAUGUACCUUGGUUGCGGGCACAUCCCCAGUAGGAGGUGUGCAGGAGGCAGCUGAUUGAUGUGUCUCUCUCAUCGAUGUUUCUAACUCUCUAUCCCUCUCCCUUCCUCUGUAAAAAAUCAAUAAAGUAUAUAUUUUUGAAAAGAAUUAUUGUUAAUUUUGUUGGAUAUAAUAUUGGUGUCACAGUUUUGUUCAAAGGAGAAGGGUCUUAUCAAACAGAAAGAAAUAUUUAUGGAUGAAAUGAUUUGAUGCAUGAGGCCUAUUUUCAAAUACUGCAACAAACAAUAAACAAGCAAAAAGUUGGGGAGAAGGAUAACAGGAAAAAUAGUAAAAUAUCGAUACUUAAGCUGAUUGUUGGGGUUUAUUAUACUGUUCUAUUUUUGCAUACAUUUGAAAGUUUCCAUAAUACAAAUUUUAAAAAAGUUUUUCAUAAUACAAAUUUUAAAAAUCUGCACAAAGAGUUGGAAACCUGGAUGGCAAUUCUGAAGUUGGCUGCAGUUAUUGUUGGAUGCAUUUAGCUUCAAAAGACAGACUCAUAGAAUAUGUUAGUAUUAGGGGAACACUGUAUUUCUUUUCAAAUGUUUAGUUUUUAAGAGCUAUCUGUGAAAGAAGUUGGAAGUAGGUGUGAACAAAUGAUAUCGGACCUUUGUUGAGACUAGGAUUAGCUAAGUCAGAGGAAUAAAGAUAGACUCUUUCAAUCUCAGUGCUGGAAGGAGCAGUGUAUGUUUGAGCUGGAAUAAAAGACAUCCUCCAGAGCAAGAAGAGUUGCAUUGCAGCUGCUCACUUUGUCCCAGGUUGUGAAAAUGUUCUGCUCAAGGACCACAGUCAAGCUGCGUGCCCCCAAAGCAGAGAAACUAUACUAAUUUGAGCCUAAAACCAAGCCACUGAACUUUUUUUCUCCUCUAAACUUGAAUCAAGAGUUAAUUAAAAAAAAACAACAACAAAAAAACACAGAACAAAAACCUCCCAUUAAGUGAAAUA